ACAGAGCUGCUGCUGAUGCGUCCUUAUCAGUGUCUAUCCACGCUGACACACCAAAAGAAAUCACGAUGUCUGAAAGACAACGGAGGCCACGGGAGACGCGACAAUUAAUGCAGGGAACACAAUCAAGACGUUACCAAACCAAAUUAAGGAGGGAAACACUGACGUUGGGACGACUGUGCCUCCUUCAAAUGUGCCUGAGCAAAGCGUCGCGCAUAAUAAAGAGUGAACGCACGCCGCUGUCUUUAUCAGGCAAACGUCUAUGUGAGCAGAAAGAAGACUUCAUAUGCAGACAAAAUGGACCUCCCAUCGUCCUCCCAACUUGACUCCGCCCAUCAUCUGCCCGCCGCUCAUCAAUAAGAAAUAGACCUGCAUACCUCACUGACCAGGGCUCACGGCCUCUCCAUGCAUGCACAUUUCACAGACACACACACAUAUGAGCAGUCAUUGUUAUGGAGGUGCCCAUCCCAGGUGGGGCUGAUUAAGUUUUCAUGGAUGUCCUCGGGGCGAAACACUUAAGGGUUAACCAGCUUCCUCCAGCAGAAUUAAAAGAGUUAAAAGUCUGCCCUGUCUUUCCACACGUCCCUUUAUUCUCGGCCCUUCUCACUAGCUGCUCAUUGGUUGGCCGCUCAAUCAGUCGAGGAUUAUGUCAACGCAAAGUCAAGGACCGAAACAAUCGUUGACAGGAUGUGAAAUCAGUUUAUUCUUUGGCUUACAUUCUGUAAUAUCAACAGACAUCAGCAGUGCAUUUACUCUGAAAUAAUAAUAAAUAAAUGUGGUGCUGUU
Molecule: long non-coding RNA, 783 nt
Organism: Acanthopagrus latus (yellowfin seabream)
Lineage: Eukaryota; Metazoa; Chordata; Actinopteri; Spariformes; Sparidae
Exons: 3
Source: RefSeq, a predicted model, not a curated record